AAAACACCACACCCCCCAAUUAAUUACUCCACCCCCUCAUCUCCUAUAAGUCCCUCUGCUUCCCUCUAGCCCUCAGUGUUUUUUUCCUACCCAAGGGAUUACACCAUGUAUUUUUUUAUAUACCUGGGCGCCUUUCAGAUGACUGGCCUCCAGAAAUGCGUAUGACCAGGGCGCCUUACAGAUGUUUGUGCCCCCUGCGUGGUGGUGGACUUACCCUUACGCAUUCCCUGUGGAAAUCAGGGCUGUUACCAGGUCGCCUAUCAAAUGAUUGUGCCUCCUGUGUAUUGUAACCGGCGGCCGCUGCACUCCUCUGUGUUCGGCAGGUGAGAGCGCGAUGUGAUGACGUCAUUAGUGGCGCCGGUGGAACGCAUGCAGGCGUUGGAACGCAAACGUCAUAUCCGGGAAAGGAAUGCCGUUUUAAACCAGCAAGCAUGGCGGAUCAUUGCCGCUCCCAGGGGUACUGCUGUUGGCCCGUGCUGGUCCUGUGCAUAGCGUUCCAACUCUGCCACAAUGGCUGACACUGCUUUAGAAAAGGAGAAGGGAAAGUCUAAAGAGAAGGCUAAAACUAAAGAAAAUUUAUCUGAAUCUCCUAAAGGGAAGAAAGAGAUAAAGAAACCAGCCUCCAUAUCUUGUUUUGGGUGUGAUAUAAAAUUUAACCCUGUGGAAGGUGAAAAGUUAUGCAAUACAUGUAAAGGGAAACUAAAAAAUCCUGUCAAUUCCCCAGAAGGGACUGAGGGACUAGUGUCCUGGAUGAAAGGAGCUAUGAUGCAGGCUUUUGAAUCUUUUAAGCAGAAGCCAAAUAAAGAGGUAUUGCAAGCUGA
Molecule: long non-coding RNA, 821 nt
Organism: Xenopus tropicalis (tropical clawed frog)
Lineage: Eukaryota; Metazoa; Chordata; Amphibia; Anura; Pipidae
Exons: 2
Source: RefSeq, a predicted model, not a curated record